CAGUAGCCACGGGAAUACGUAGGUGGCAAGCGUUGUCCGGAAUUAUUGGGCGUAAAGGGCUCGCAGGCGGUUUCUUAAGUCUGGUGUGAAAGCCCCCGGCUCAACCGGGGAGGGUCAUUGGAAACUGGGAAACUUGAGUGCAGAAGAGGAGAGUGGAGUUCCACGUGUAGCGGUGAAAUGCGUAGAGAUGUGGAGGAACACCAGUGGCGAAGGCGACUCUCUGGACUGUAACUGACGCUGAGGAGCGAAAGCGUGGGGAGCGAACAGGAUUAGAUACCCGCGUAGUACCUGUCUCUUAUAA
This 301-nucleotide ribosomal RNA is filed under the name uncultured bacterium. RNAcentral describes it as "partial 16S ribosomal RNA". It matches the Rfam family "Bacterial small subunit ribosomal RNA", at positions 509 to 809 of the family's 1533-position model. The record is from RNAcentral.